Molecule: ribosomal RNA, 1033 nt
Filed under: Micrococcus endophyticus
Lineage: Bacteria; Bacillati; Actinomycetota; Actinomycetes; Micrococcales; Micrococcaceae
Description: bacterial SSU rRNA
Rfam family: Bacterial small subunit ribosomal RNA
Source: RNAcentral
CUUACCAUGCAGUCGAACGAUGAAGCCCAGCUUGCUGGGUGGAUUAGUGGCGAACGGGUGAGUAACACGUGAGUAACCUGCCCUUAACUCUGGGAUAAGCCUGGGAAACUGGGUCUAAUACCGGAUAGGAGCGUCCACCGCAUGGUGGGUGUUGGAAAGAUUUAUCGGUUUUGGAUGGACUCGCGGCCUAUCAGCUUGUUGGUGAGGUAAUGGCUCACCAAGGCGACGACGGGUAGCCGGCCUGAGAGGGUGACCGGCCACACUGGGACUGAGACACGGCCCAGACUCCUACGGGAGGCAGCAGUGGGGAAUAUUGCACAAUGGGCGAAAGCCUGAUGCAGCGACGCCGCGUGAGGGAUGACGGCCUUCGGGUUGUAAACCUCUUUCAGUAGGGAAGAAGCGAAAGUGACGGUACCUGCAGAAGAAGCACCGGCUAACUACGUGCCAGCAGCCGCGGUAAUACGUAGGGUGCGAGCGUUAUCCGGAAUUAUUGGGCGUAAAGAGCUCGUAGGCGGUUUGUCGCGUCUGUCGUGAAAGUCCGGGGCUUAACCCCGGAUCUGCGGUGGGUACGGGCAGACUAGAGUGCAGUAGGGGAGACUGGAAUUCCUGGUGUAGCGGUGGAAUGCGCAGAUAUCAGGAGGAACACCGAUGGCGAAGGCAGGUCUCUGGGCUGUAACUGACGCUGAGGAGCGAAAGCAUGGGGAGCGAACAGGAUUAGAUACCCUGGUAGUCCAUGCCGUAAACGUUGGGCACUAGGUGUGGGGACCAUUCCACGGUUUCCGCGCCGCAGCUAACGCAUUAAGUGCCCCGCCUGGGGAGUACGGCCGCAAGGCUAAAACUCAAAGGAAUUGACGGGGGCCCGCACAAGCGGCGGAGCAUGCGGAUUAAUUCGAUGCAACGCGAAGAACCUUACCAAGGCUUGACAUGUUCUCGAUCGCCGUAGAGAUACGGUUUCCCCUUUGGGGCGGGUUCACAGGUGGGUGCAUGGGUGUCGUCAGCUCGUGUCGUGAGAUGUUGGGUUUAGUCCCGCAAC